Long non-coding RNA from Triplophysa rosa, 263 nucleotides. RefSeq lists it as uncharacterized. NCBI's taxonomy places the organism in Eukaryota, Metazoa, Chordata, Actinopteri, Cypriniformes, Nemacheilidae. The record is from RefSeq and is a predicted model, not a curated record. The transcript is spliced from 3 exons.
GAAAAGCUGGACCAUGUUAAAGCCGAGAUGCAGAGGAUCUCUGCGGCACACCUAGAUCAGCGCCCUGAGAGGAAAGCAUAUCAUCCAUUUGUGUGGAACAGUCUGAGUCCAUACAGAGACACUACUGAGAUCGACCAUCUCCUCACAAUGUCAGCUGAUCCAGGCAGAAGAAACCAGUAUUCCUCAGUAAAGAAAAGCAGAAAGUAGUCAAAUAUCUGAAGACAUUUUUUCUGAAUCACUGCAUUUAGAUGGGCAUUUAAUGA